Molecule: small nuclear RNA, 107 nt
Organism: Microtus ochrogaster (prairie vole)
Lineage: Eukaryota; Metazoa; Chordata; Mammalia; Rodentia; Cricetidae
Source: Ensembl
GUGUUGGCUUCAGCAGUACAUGUAUUAACGAUGGAAUGAUACAAAAAUGAUUAGCAUAGUGCUUGCUCAAGAAUGACAUGCAAAUUUGCAAGGCAUUCAUAUCCCAU